Alosa sapidissima (American shad) is the source of this 394-nucleotide long non-coding RNA. RefSeq lists it as uncharacterized. The transcript is spliced from 3 exons. Lineage: Eukaryota; Metazoa; Chordata; Actinopteri; Clupeiformes; Clupeidae. The record is from RefSeq and is a predicted model, not a curated record.
UUGACGUCUCUUGAGCCAUCAGUACUUAAGUGGACAAAAUUGGUCAACUUUUGGUCCUAGCCAGGACAUGUUUUCCUACUUGCCCAUAUUUAAUGCUCUUCACCAUUAACACAUGUUCCUCAGCUUCGUUAACUAGAAAAUUCACCCUUCAAACUUCAACUCUGAGGUUGAAGUGAAAAAGACACAACCAAGCCUCCAUACGCCCUAAAAACAUGGAUGAGUGUUUCCGGAAAAUUCUACAGAAACACCUGGUGGGUCUUCUUCACAGACAGAAUCUAUAUCCCAAAUGUUUUUUUUCCCCGAGCCAAGAGCUAGCCCAGCCAGAGCACUUUAAAUAAGCACCAGGGCUAAUCCUUAAGAGCGCUUAUCGAUUACAGAGCGGGAGAAAAGAGAU